RNAcentral lists this ribosomal RNA (506 nucleotides) under uncultured Bacillota bacterium. RNAcentral's name for it is "bacterial SSU rRNA". It matches the Rfam family "Bacterial small subunit ribosomal RNA", at positions 399 to 896 of the family's 1533-position model. The record is from RNAcentral. Lineage: Bacteria; Bacillati; Bacillota.
GCGUGAGUGAAGAAGGUUUUCGGAUCGUAAAACUCUGUUGUAAGGGAAGAACACGUACGAGAGUAACUGCUCGUACCUUGACGGUACCUUAUUAGAAAGCCACGGCUAACUACGUGCCAGCAGCCGCGGUAAUACGUAGGUGGCAAGCGUUGUCCGGAAUUAUUGGGCGUAAAGCGCGCGCAGGCGGUUCUUUAAGUCUGAUGUGAAAGCCCACGGCUCAACCGUGGAGGGUCAUUGGAAACUGGAGAACUUGAGUACAGAAGAGGAAAGCGGAAUUCCACGUGUAGCGGUGAAAUGCGUAGAGAUGUGGAGGAACACCAGUGGCGAAGGCGGCUUUCUGGUCUGUAACUGACGCUGAGGCGCGAAAGCGUGGGGAGCAAACAGGAUUAGAUACCCUGGUAGUCCACGCCGUAAACGAUGAGUGCUAAGUGUUAGGGGGUUUCCGCCCCUUAGUGCUGCAGCUAACGCAUUAAGCACUCCGCCUGGGGAGUACGGCCGCAAGGCUG